Molecule: long non-coding RNA, 1041 nt
Organism: Diabrotica virgifera virgifera (western corn rootworm)
Lineage: Eukaryota; Metazoa; Arthropoda; Insecta; Coleoptera; Chrysomelidae
Exons: 3
Source: RefSeq, a predicted model, not a curated record
GAACGACAACGAACGAACGAACACGAACACAGAUUACAGAUUCACAGAUAGCGCACGAUUUGUCAAAAGUCAUGUUCCACCAAUCACAAUGCCGAUAUCAGCGCCUCUGACUAAACGGAAGGAAAAUAAAUACGAUUACAUGUUUUUUAUUAGAGUUAGCGGGGCAUGAAUGCGAGCAACGAUCAAACAUCAAACAUGGCGCAUGGUCAUGCGCAAAGAAAUUUGGAGCCCGAAAUAUUCCACGCUUUCGCUUCUUGUUGGAUGGAGUAUUCUUUGAUAUAGGCCGUUCCAACAUGCUGUCAAAAUUAAAUCAAUAUGGCUGCUGGAAGUAAAACAUAAAUGUUAUUCUAUAGGUUCUUAAUGUGUUUUAGAUGGUUUUAGAUCAUUUUUGUUGUGUUUCUUUGUAAUUUUGUGUUGUACAAAGAUUAAUUUAACAUUUUCUCUGGAAGUAUUAAUUUAGAAAGAUAAUAUGCUUCAUUGGUGUUGUGUUUUGAAGUGUGAAAUGCAAAGUAAUCCUGAUAAAGUCAAGAUAAAGUUCACUUUUAAACUGAACUAAAUACGGUAUCAGCUGAGAGACAACAAUGGUUAAAUGCAAUACAAUGUAAGGUUUUACUAGCGAAAUGAAAAUUCUCCUGUCCUGUCUGCUGUAAUAAUUUUAUAUCUGGAAAACCAGCCGACUUAAUCGAUAAUAACAAUCCAGAUUGGGUUCCUUCAAUAAAUAUGGGCUAUAAACACAAUGAAAUAAGUUCCCCAAAAUCUAAAAUGAAGUGGUAUCAAAGGAGAAUUAAAAGAAAAAAUAUUCAUAUUGAAAUUAUUUAUAAGGCACUGGACUGUCUUAAAUUCUACAAAUACUAGUUGGAAUCAGCUGAGAGAAGUGGUGUACAAAAAAACUAGGAAGGGAAUGGAAUAUGUGGCUACGAAAGGCAAAAGAAAUGAAUACAAAGCAAAUGUGACACAUUUUUUUAAAAAUAUGUAGGAAUAUCAGUAAACUACAUUAAAAAUGUAUGAAAAGAUUUUGUACAAUAAAAAUGUUUAUAUUUA